Molecule: long non-coding RNA, 574 nt
Organism: Leptopilina heterotoma
Lineage: Eukaryota; Metazoa; Arthropoda; Insecta; Hymenoptera; Figitidae
Exons: 2
Source: RefSeq, a predicted model, not a curated record
AUCAAAGGUCCGAGCGAUACAGAGUGUGGAAACCAGAGCAUAAAACUAUGAAUUUUGAAGUUCAGCCAAUCAACAUUCAGAAUUCCCCUAGCCCAACCAACCACGUUUCGUACUUUCAGAGCGCUCAGAGUGUCAACGUCGAAAACACCCUGGGUAAUCCACAUAGUGGCAUCACUGGUCACUGACAUGUCUCGUUUAUAGCUUAUAGCACAUGGCAAUUUUUUCAUCCAACUUUUGUCGAAAAUGUCAUAUUAUCUAUUUAUUUAUUCAACAUAUACGGGACUUGCCCAUUCGUACAAAAGUACUCUUAAAAACUAAUGUUGCACACCGCAACCUGUAUUCACAAACUUACAUGAGCUAGUGGUGGGCCAGAUGGUAUUGCUGCACUUGGUCCUGCUGUAAGAUAACCGGCAGACAUCGGUGUUCCAGCUAAUUUAAACACACAAAAAUUAGUACAAUAAAUAAAUUGCUAAUUUACUUUUCAUCAGUUCACGCAAGAAUUACAAGUACAAGAAUUAUUAUUAUGUAUAACAUUUUUAAUUAUUGUGUGAAGAAAUUAAGUUUUAUAAAAGUA